CAUUUGAAAAGUUGAAAUCUGUAAUUCAUC
This 30-nucleotide non-coding RNA is filed under the name Cricetulus griseus (Chinese hamster). The record is from RNAcentral. Lineage: Eukaryota; Metazoa; Chordata; Mammalia; Rodentia; Cricetidae.